This 251-nucleotide ribosomal RNA is filed under the name uncultured bacterium. RNAcentral's name for it is "partial 16S ribosomal RNA". It matches the Rfam family "Bacterial small subunit ribosomal RNA", at positions 525 to 775 of the family's 1533-position model. The record is from RNAcentral.
ACGGAGGAUGCGAGCGUUAUCCGGAUUUAUUGGGUUUAAAGGGAGUGCAGACGGGUCGUUAAGUCAGCUGUGAAAGUUUGGGGCUCAACCUUAAAAUUGCAGUUGAUACUGGCGUCCUUGAGUGCGGUUGAGGUGUGCGGAAUUCGUGGUGUAGCGGUGAAAUGCUUAGAUAUCACGAAGAACUCCGAUUGCGAAGGCAGCACACUAAUCCGUAACUGACGUUCAUGCUCGAAAGUGUGGGUAUCAAACAG